Molecule: ribosomal RNA, 470 nt
Filed under: Pseudopantilius australis
Lineage: Eukaryota; Metazoa; Arthropoda; Insecta; Hemiptera; Miridae
Description: partial large subunit ribosomal RNA
Rfam family: Eukaryotic large subunit ribosomal RNA
Source: RNAcentral
CCUAAAGGCGAAAUGAAAGUGAAGGAAACUUUGUUUUCGAGGGAGGAUGGGUUAGGUUCCUUUACUGGGCCGGCCCCGCACUCCUGGGGCGUCUCUAUCUCAUUGAGAGGAGGCGCACCUAGAGCGUACACGCUGAUACCCGAAAGAUGGUGAACUAUGCCUGGCCAGGACGAAGCCAGGGGAAACCCUGGUGGAGGUCCGCAGCGAUUCUGACGUGCAAAUCGAUCGUCGGAGCUGGGUUUAGGGGCGAAAGACCAAUCGAACCAUCUAGUAGCUGGUUCCCUCUGAAGUUUCCCUCAGGAUAGCUUGCGCUCGGAUGAAACGAGUCUCAUCCGGUAGAGCGAAUGAUUAGAGGCCUUGGGGUCGAAACGACCUCAACCUAUUCUCAAACUCCAAAUAGAUGAGAACCCCGGCUUUCUUGAACAUUGUUUUGGGGGCUCGGAUCAGAGUGCCAAGUGGGCCAAUUUUGG